This 406-nucleotide ribosomal RNA is filed under the name uncultured bacterium. RNAcentral describes it as "partial 16S ribosomal RNA". It matches the Rfam family "Bacterial small subunit ribosomal RNA", at positions 28 to 526 of the family's 1533-position model. The record is from RNAcentral.
GAUGCACGCUAGCUACAGGCUUAACACAUGCAAGUCGAGGGACCGGCGCACGGGUGAGUAACACGUAUCCAACCUGCCCUUUACUCGGGGAUAGCCUUUCGAAAGAACGAUUAAUACCCGAUCGAAAGGAUGGGGAUGCGUUCGAUUAGGUUGUUGGUGAGGUAACGGCCCACCAAGCCUUCGAUGGUUAGGGGUGCUGAGAGGAAGGUCCCCCACAUUGGAACUGAGACACGGUCCAAACUCCUAGGGGAGGCAGCAGUGAGGAAGAUUGGUCAAUGGGCGGUAGCCUGAACCAGCCAAGUAGCGGGAAGGAUGAAGGAUUAUGGGUCGUAAACUUCUUUUAUAUAAGAAUAUGUAUUAUAUGAAUAAGGAUCGGCUAACUCCGUGCCAGCAGCCGCGGUAAUAC